RNAcentral lists this ribosomal RNA (142 nucleotides) under Triticum dicoccoides. The record is from RNAcentral. Lineage: Eukaryota; Viridiplantae; Streptophyta; Magnoliopsida; Poales; Poaceae.
GGAUGCGAUCAUACUAGCACUAAAGUAUCGGGUCCCGUCAGAACUCCGAAGUUAAGCGUGUCAGAACUCCGAAGUUAAGCAUGCUUGGGCGAGAGUAGUACUAGGAUGGGUGACCUCCUGGGAAGUCCUCGUGUUGCAUUUC